RNAcentral lists this ribosomal RNA (253 nucleotides) under uncultured bacterium. RNAcentral describes it as "partial 16S ribosomal RNA". It matches the Rfam family "Bacterial small subunit ribosomal RNA", at positions 524 to 776 of the family's 1533-position model. The record is from RNAcentral.
UACGUAGGGUGCAGGCGUUAAUCGGAAUUACUGGGCGUAAAGCGUGCGCAGGCGGUUUGCUAAGACAGGUGUGAAAUCCCCGGGCUUAACCUGGGAACUGCGCUUGUAACUGGCAAGCUGGAGUGUGGCAGAGGGGGGUGGAAUUCCACGUGUAGCAGUGAAAUGCGUAGAGAUGUUGAGGAACACCGAUGGCGAAGGCAGCCCCCUGGGCUAACACUGACGCUCAUGCACGAAAGCGUGGGGAGCAAACAGG